UACAGAGGUCUCAAGCGUUGUUCGGAAUUACUGGGCGUAAAGGGCGCGUAGGCGGUCCGAUAAGUCGGCUGUGAAAGUCCAGGGCUCAACCCUGGAAAGCCGGCCGAUACUGUCGGACUAGAGUCCGGAAGAGGCAAGUGGAAUUCCCGGUGUAGCGGUGAAAUGCGCAGAUAUCGGGAGGAACACCAAUUGCGAAGGCAGCUUGCUGGGACGGUACUGACGCUGAGGCGCGAAAGCGUGGGGAGCAAACAGG
RNAcentral lists this ribosomal RNA (253 nucleotides) under uncultured bacterium. Its description in RNAcentral is "partial 16S ribosomal RNA". It matches the Rfam family "Bacterial small subunit ribosomal RNA", at positions 524 to 776 of the family's 1533-position model. The record is from RNAcentral.